UGGCCAAGUUUUUAAGGGCGCACGGUGGAUGCCUUGGCACCAGGAACCGAUGAAGGACGUGAGAGGCCGCGAUAGGCCCCGGGGAGCUGCCAACUGAGCUUUGAUCCGGGGGUGUCCGAAUGGGGAAACCCGG
RNAcentral lists this ribosomal RNA (133 nucleotides) under uncultured actinomycete. RNAcentral describes it as "partial 23S ribosomal RNA". It matches the Rfam family "Bacterial large subunit ribosomal RNA", at positions 1 to 131 of the family's 2925-position model. Lineage: Bacteria; Bacillati; Actinomycetota; Actinomycetes; Actinomycetales. The record is from RNAcentral.